UCUGGGCCGCACGCGCGCUACACUGACAGAGCCAGCGAGUUUUUUUCCUUGGCCGAAAGGUCUGGGUAAUCUUGUGAAACUCUGUCGUGCUGGGGAUAGAGCAUUGCAAUUAUUGCUCUUCAACGAGGAAUUCCUAGUAAGCGUGAGUCAUCAGCUCGCGUUGAUUACGUCCCUGCCCUUUGUACACACCGCCCGUCGCUACUACCGAUUGAAUGGCUUA
Molecule: ribosomal RNA, 220 nt
Filed under: Minanapis palena
Lineage: Eukaryota; Metazoa; Arthropoda; Arachnida; Araneae; Anapidae
Description: partial 18S ribosomal RNA
Rfam family: Eukaryotic small subunit ribosomal RNA
Source: RNAcentral